GUUUUAUAUGAUAUGGGUAGCAAUUAAAGCAGCAGCCACUUUCUCUGAAAUUAAGUACAUUGCAAGACUUUCCUUAACUAACACAAAAUUUGGUACAGUGAGAUAUGUUUGUAUAUUUACAUGUCCCCAAAGUGUGAACCUACUCAGUUCUUCUGAGCUAAAUUCAAAUGGAUCUAAAGAGUUUUAAAUUUCAUUGUGUAUCCUUUGUCAUUGCCAGAGUUUUAAAUUAAGAAGUAGUUUCCAUUGUAAUGUUACAUUCUGCUCAGAAAACCCAUAUCUCCGAAACAAAAUGUCAAGUUAAUCUGCAGGAUCCAUUUUCAGUUUAUUCACGAUUAUGGGACCACCUUCUGUUCUGAAGAUUCCCAAGGCUGGUGCAGCAUAAUCAUCACUGGGAAAGAGAUGUACAUCUCUUACAGAUGGAUUUAUUUAUGGAUCUUUUGUUGGCAUAUAGAUCUAACUUCCUCCGGGGACAGACACAAAUCUCUAUAAUGCCCCCACAUGAACAAUUUUGACUUUGAUGUUCAAACUUAUCCAACAAACAUAUAAAAAUCACAAAUAAUUGAACGAUUCCCUGCUGAUUUCACAGCUGUGCUACAAGAGCUGAAAACUGUGAAUUACUGCAGCGAUUGAAAGCAGGAACUACAGAGUAUCACCUACAUCCCCGAUGACCCAAUGAGUUCCUAUGUGGCCCCGGGUUUGAAGCUAUCCAUGAAAGACUGAUGCCUGAGUAGAACAGAAUAUGGUGGAGCAGCCCUGGAGUUGGAGUUAUAGGCAGUUGUAAGGCACUCAAUUCGGGUCCUGGGAAAUAGACUUCAGGCCUCUGAAGGAGUAUCAGAUGCUCUCAACUAUGGAGUCAUCUAUCUGUUCUCCACUGGGCAGCUGAGAGUAACCACACUCAGGUCCCAGUGUCCUCUCAAAUGAGGAUACUCUAUGAACCUAGCAGUUAAGUAUGGGAGAAUCAUGGGGACAUAUUAUCUACACAAAAUUAUUUAUAAUGAUUUUAUUUUCAGAGUGCAAAAUCAAAAUACAAAUUUUAAAAAUAAUAAAUGGUACAGAAUUGAUUAUAUUUCUUCUUGAAAAAUUUUAUAACAUUUAUUAACAAUAGAUACAAUCAAUACCAACAACAAUACAGAAAUAUGUACAUUUCUAUACACCUUAAAAAUAUGAUGACAGUUCUAUUUGGGGAAAAUAUGCACUGAAGAGCUAUCUCAUUUGAAGUGAAUCUUAAUUAGAAUGUAAUGAUAAAUCCUCACAAUUUACUACUGUAGUUUCAACUGAGAUAGCAAGACCACAUUUCAUACAGUUCAAAAUAAUUUCCCAGUGCCCACCUGCACCGCACCUGUGAAACCAGCUGGGGUUUGUUUGUUCUCUAGAUUUAUGGCCAGACUUCCCAGUCAAUGCAUCAUUAAUUUCAGAUUUUAUAAUGUCAUUUUCUUAGGUUCUCCACCCCAUUGCUUUGGAAUUGAUGGAGAAUAAUCGAGCAAAAUUAUCAGUGCUAUCCAAGGAUGUUGAAAACAGGAAGGAUUUUUUUAAUGUAACACAUAAACAGAAAAAAAUCUAGAAAUCUUACUGAAAUGGAAAGGCAGAGAAAUGAUUGAUAUUUUACUUCAUAAAUGAGUGUGUUUGUCGAUCACUCCAUAAAUUAUAUUUACUGAUGGAAAUGUAUUAACCUGGUUAUCAAACCUCCAGGAAAAUUAGCAAAAUUCCCCUCUUGCAUUUGAUGCUAUGAAAGCUCGUAAAUAAUAAUAAACAUAUGUGAUCAUUUUUCAAUUACUAAAUAACUCUAGAGUAUGAAAUAUAUCUAUUCCUUGGUGUGUGUGUGGGGGGGGGCGGUCAUGCCAAGGUAUGCAUGUACAUGUGAAAGUGCAACUUUCAGGCACUGACUCUCUUUCUACUGUGUGGGUUCCUAAGAUGGAGUACAGUUCUUGAGACCUGCAAUAAGUGCCCUUAUCAACCAAGUCUUCUUAUGAGCCUAGGUUCUUUUAUGUUGCAGAUGCAGUUAUUUCUGUACUAGUAAUGCAAACCAUUUCUUUCUUCCUAUGCAAAUACACUGAAACUCAUUAGUGAAUUAAAAAAAAACUUCUUGUAACUAUUCACAAGGGAUUACUUAUUUGAUUCAUUUGGGUAGAAUUUUAUCUUUUCAUUCCUGUUUGCACAGAGAAUACUGCCAAGUCAGUGCUGAAACCUUGAGGUUGUUAGGGGUGUUUUGGUACCUGUUCUCCCUUUGAAAUACUUAUUGGCUUCUAAAUUCUCCCACAUUUAAAAAUCACAAUUAUUGCUAAUAUUAUAGAAAAAUAUUCUCAUACUUUUUACUCUUUACACAACACAUUUUGUAUAUGAAAUAUACUUUUUCUGAAUACUGAGAGUUUUUCAUUUACAUUACAACACGUUUGAUAAAUUCCCACCAUUUUUCAGCAAUCUCUAGGUUCAAAAAGUGAUAUGGCAGGAUGAAAAAAAAAAGUGAUACGGAUGCCUGUUGCCUUGUUCAGAGAGGCUUUAUUUGUGAUUAAAUAGGAAAGGACAAUGAUUUGUGAAGGUAAACUCAUUACUCUAAGCAAGUCCCAACCGAGUUCAAAGAGUGCUGCUACAUUGAGAAAGAAGUGAGUCAACAGUAACAGAAAUCUGUCUUAAUACUUUUUGUCUUCCCUUUUACCUUUAAUCAGAAGGUAAUGCAAGAUGCUGAUGCAUCCCCAACCUUCUUUCUUUGUUAAUUUUUACUCUUCUUUCAUACAAUAUAUCACAAGGGCUGUUUCCCUCUCUCCAUUUCUUCCAGUCCACCUCUCCACUUCCUCUUUCUUCCAGAUCAACUCCUCCUCAGUUUCCCUUUAGAAAAGAGCAGACCUCCCAGGGGAAUCAAUGGAACACUUCAUAACAAGUUACAAUAAGACUAGGCACAAACCUUCAAGUUAGGGCUGGAUGCAGCAGCCCUGUAGAAGGAAAAAAGUUCCAAGAGUAGGCAAAAGAGUUAAAAAAUACCUCCGUUCCCACUGUUAGGAGUCCUAAAAAAAUAAAAUAAAAUAAAACCAAGUUAACAACCUUAAUAUAUAUAUAUCACAGACUCAUGCAGGCCCUGUGAUUUUCAUUUCAGUCUCUUGAGCCCCCGUGAGCCCUGCUUAGUUGAUAUAAUGGACAAUCUUCUCCUAGUGUCUUCAACCCCUCUGGCUCCUACAUUUUUUCCCUUCCCUUCUUCUGUAGAAUUUUCCAAGUUCCAAGGGGAGGGACCCAAUAGAGAACUUCAAUUUGGGCUCUCUUUCUGCCUAAUGUUUGGCUGUGGGUCUCUGUGUCUGCUCCCAUCGUCUGCUGAAGAAAGCCUCUCAGAUGAUGACUGAAGUAGGCACCAAAUUACGAGUACAGUAGAAUAUCAUUAGGAAUUAUUUUAUUGAUUUUUUCCCCAUAUUUUAUGUCUCUGGGCUAUCCGGCCUCAGGUUCCUGGUUGUCCAAGCAGUGUUGGUCAUGGGCUCUUUUCAUGUGGCAUGGGCCUCCUUUCAGACCAAUCAUUGCAUGGCCACUAUCAUAAGUUCUGCAUCUGCAUUGCCCCAGCAUAUCUUUCAAGAAAGAAAGAUAAUAGGUAGAAGGUUUUGUUGCUGAUUGGUGUCCUACUCCAAAUCACUGGCAGUUACCUGAUUACAGAAGAUGGUUGGUACAUGCUCCAUAUCCUCCAUUACUAGGAGUCCUUGCUAAGGUCAGUCACCCUUGUAGAAUUCUGGGUAUUUCUACUGCAUUAGGUUUCAACAUUGCCCCCACCCCCAAAUAUACCCCAGUUUUAUUCAUCUCUCCAUGAACUUUCUCCCUCUACUCCCACCCCACCUGGUCCCUCUUGCCCAUCCCCAAUUGCCCCCAGUACACCCACAAAAUCUAUUUCCCCUUCCCAGGGAACUCCAUGCAUCACCCCUACCUCCCCACUCCCCAACCCCCCACCCCACCCCCCAAACCCCUCCCCUUGAGCCCUCCUUGUUACAAAGCCUUUCUGGGUCUAGGUUACCUCACUCAGGGUAGUUUUUUCCUAGUUCCAGCUAUAUGACUGCUAAUUUCAUGGUAUCUUUUUAUUAACAGCAAAGUAAUAUUACUUAAUUUUGAUAAUAUUUAUGCCUUCACUAACAAUUUCAUUUCUUUAAUAAAUUAUCCCUUUGAUUUCAUUUAGUUUUUACUUGUUGAACACAGAUAAUUCUUAAAGUACAUAUGCACCACACACUUAUGAAGAGACAGAAAUUUGAAUGUAUCACUAUAUAUUUUUUCUCAUUGUAUAGUUAUUUCUUUUGUUCCUUCAAAAAUGUUGCUUUCAAAGACUGCUUUAUAGAGUGUGGAGAGUAACUCACUGAUUGAAAAUAAAUCUCUAGUUAUAUAGAUUUACUCAACUGAACAAAUGAUUAAUAUAAACUAGCUAAGCCAAAAGGAUGCAGUAAGUGUAUUACCUGAGUUUUACUUAAUUCAGAAGAAAGGAGGUAACAUGUAGCUGAGAAUUUUCCAAAACAUCCUGAAGAUACAUGUUCACAGAUUCAAAAACUUCAAUGAUUCAUAUGAAGAAUGAAUUUUCAAUUAAAAAAAGAUGAUUAGGAAAAUAAAGAAAUGCUGACAACCAAAACUCCCAAAACACUUCAAUGAGUUAGGCAAACUAUUCAAAGGAGUUUUAUAAACCUUUCAAAAACAAUGACAGUCUGAGACAGACCAAUGUCAUCAAUGUGCUGAAAAAAAUCAAGAGAUAUUUAAAAUCUGUAUGCAACAAAAAAUUCUUCAUAAUUUUAAGAUGAUAUUUAGUCAAAUGAAAAAAAUUUAAAAAUUAUUUAAAAGUAAAGAUAAGAAGGUACUUCUAGGAGAAGAAAAGGAUAUGCAAAAUGAAAUAUAAACAAGAAGUAAUGAGAAAAAGAGGCAGAAAAUGGUGAUGGAAAGAAUAUAUUACCUUAUAAACGUAGGAAUAAGAAACUAUCAUUUCAUUAUAAUCAACAGUAACACAACAUAAUCUACAACCAUGAGUUUAGAGAGACACUGUAGGAAAUAAAUUGUACCAAUACUGGCCAUUAACAAGAAAAUUAAAACAUUUAUAGUUUAAAUUUUAUUGUGCUUUAUUCAAUUAUAUUUAAGUUGGUAAAAUAUUUUAUAACAUUUUGAACUAAUUUAAUUAUGUAGAAAGCAAAUUACAAAAUUAGAUUUGUCUGAAAAAUAUUUGUAAAUAUAUUAAAAUAAAGGAAUAUGGUUUCCAACUGACAUUGACUCAUAGAGAUUUUUUUAAAAUCACAAUAGUAAAUGAUAAAUGAGUCAAAGAAGAAAACAACAACAAAAAAUAACCUAGAAGUAGAUGAAUAUAAAAAACACAACACAUCAAACUUUCUGGGACACAUUAAAAACAGCCCAGCAGGAAAUAUAGAUAUCUCUAAACAUUUUCAUUGGGAAAAAAAAGAAAAGAAAGAAAGAAAAUGUGCACAAAUAAAUUACUUAAUGAUACAAAUAUGGUUUCUGUUACAAUGGUUUCCCAUUCAUUUCUGCCCCCUUGUGUAAUUUCCUUAUUUAUUUUGGUUUUGUGAACUAAGAUUCUGUAGAUCUGUUUAUCCUCUCACAGAACCACCUCUUAGAGCUGUUAAUUCUUUGACUUGUUUUCAUCUACUUGAUUGAUGUCUGCUCUUCCCUUAUUAUUCCUUUCCAUUUACUGGAUUUUGGUUCCAUUUGUUCUCAUUUAUACAAUUCUUAAUUUGAUCACAUAAUUGUACAUGUUAUGAAAGAACAUUUCACAAAUAUUAUUAAUGGGAAAAUCAAUUUUAAAAUUAAAUCUUAAAUGGAAAAUUGAGAGUAAAUAGAAGCAUAUAAAGUUUUGGCAAUAGAAUAUGUUAGUAAGGACAGAUUUUCCUUAUCUCAGCGUUUAAAAUGUGUUCUAUGAAAGUUAAACUGACAAAUGUGUUAGAAAGAGAGUGACAGGAUGCUAGGCUGCCUGAUCAACUGUGCUUAUUAAAAAUGAUUUCAUGAAAAUAAAGAUAUGUGUAGAGAAAAACAGACAUGAUUUCAUGCAGAGGUAAAAAGAAGUGUAGAAUAAGAUAAUCUUAUUUUUCACAUGUUGACUUUCUUUGAACAGCAUAAUCUAGGAAAUCUGUCAAAGGAUGUAAAUUGAACAUUAUUAAUGUGCUACAAUUUACAUACACAA
This is a non-coding RNA of Peromyscus maniculatus bairdii (prairie deer mouse), 6130 nucleotides long. The record is from RefSeq and is a predicted model, not a curated record. NCBI's taxonomy places the organism in Eukaryota, Metazoa, Chordata, Mammalia, Rodentia, Cricetidae.